This 253-nucleotide ribosomal RNA is filed under the name uncultured bacterium. RNAcentral's name for it is "partial 16S ribosomal RNA". It matches the Rfam family "Bacterial small subunit ribosomal RNA", at positions 524 to 776 of the family's 1533-position model. The record is from RNAcentral.
UACGAAGGGUGCAAGCGUUACUCGGAAUUACUGGGCGUAAAGGGCGCGUAGGCGGCCCGCUAAGUCGAACGUGAAAUCCCCAGGCUCAACCUGGGAACUGCGUCCGAUACUGGCAGGCUUGAAUCCGGGAGAGGGAUGUGGAAUUCCAGGUGUAGCGGUGAAAUGCGUAGAUAUCUGGAGGAACACCGGUGGCGAAGGCGGCAUCCUGGACCGGUAUUGACGCUGAGGCGCGAAAGCUAGGGGAGCAAACGGG